This 373-nucleotide ribosomal RNA is filed under the name uncultured bacterium. RNAcentral describes it as "bacterial SSU rRNA". It matches the Rfam family "Bacterial small subunit ribosomal RNA", at positions 525 to 896 of the family's 1533-position model. The record is from RNAcentral.
ACGGGGGGUGCAAGCGUUGUUCGGAAUUAUUGGGCGUAAAGAGCGUGUAGGCGGCUGAAUAAGUCAGAUGUGAAAUCCCUGGGCUUAACCCAGGAAGUGCAUUUGAAACUAUUCGGCUUGAGUAGGGGAGAGGAAAGUGGAAUUCCUGGUGUAGAGGUGAAAUUCGUAGAUAUCAGGAGGAACACCGGUGGCGAAGGCGACUUUCUGGCCCUAUACUGACGCUGAGACGCGAGAGCGUGGGUAGCAAACAGGAUUAGAUACCCUGGUAGUCCACGCUGUAAACGAUGUUCACUAGGUGUUGGGGGUAUUGACCCUCUCAGUGCCGCAGCUAACGCAUUAAGUGAACCGCCUGGGGAGUACGGUCGCAAGAUUA